RNAcentral lists this ribosomal RNA (492 nucleotides) under uncultured bacterium. RNAcentral describes it as "bacterial SSU rRNA". It matches the Rfam family "Bacterial small subunit ribosomal RNA", at positions 28 to 524 of the family's 1533-position model. The record is from RNAcentral.
GAUGAACGCUAGCGGAAGGCUUAAUACAUGCAAGUCGAGCGGUAGGUGGCUUCGGCCAUUGAGAGCGGCGCACGGGUGAGUAACGCGUACAUGACCUGCCUGUCAGAAGGGGAUAGCCCUGGGAAACUGGGAUUAAUACCCUAUGGUAUUGAUAUUAUGAAUGAUAUCAAUUAAAGUUGAGGCGCUGACAGAUGGAUGUGCGUCUGAUUAGCUAGUUGGUAGGGUAACGGCCUACCAAGGCGACGAUCAGUAGGGGGCGUGAGAGCGUGGUCCCUCACACGGGUACUGAGACACGGACCCGAUCCUACGGGAGGCAGCAGUAAGGAAUAUUGGUCAAUGCCCGCAAGGGGUGAACCAGCCAUUCCGCGUGGAGGAUGAAGGCCCUAUGGGUUGUAAACUUCUUUUAGAUGGGAAGAAAUGCUAGAUGUAUCUGGUACUGACGGUACCAUCAGAAUAAGCACCGGCUAACUCCGUGCCAGCAGCCGCGGUAAU